UCGGAACAAACAACUAUAUAGUGGAAAGACAAAGAAAUGUAGAGAAACGAUCUAUCUAAAUGUUGAUACGUAUACACUACACGGUCGAGACAAAUUUUACGAGCAUACUAUUGGCAGAAUAGCAUAAGACUGCAAAGUUUUUGACAGUCUUUUUCGACAUUUAAACAAAAAAAACUAAAAUAUACAACUCUUCUUAUGGAAAAUCGUAACCUUGCGAUUCUAUAUCAAAUAAAGAAGAAUACUUACUACGUGAUAAACGAUAAAAGGAUAAUCGAGGAAAAAAUUUUGAUGAGAUUACGUGCCAUUUGUGUGUGUGGUGUUGAAUCUUCUAAGACGAAUUCUUUACUUCCUCCUAUCCUUUUCGCGUUAAACGUGAAACUCGUCAAAAAAGCGAAACACACGAAACGAAUUUAGGGUUCGCUUGAAAGUGCACGUAGCACAAUGAAAGGAGCUUCAUACGAUCAGCAGCUUCAACGUCGUCCGAUGUAUCACACAGUUUUGCGAACAAGAAUAUAACUAACGGAGAGAAACACUAUCCAGCGCAGGUUUCUUUAACGUUCAAACGAAGCUUACAUAUUUUACGAAGUUUACGUCGAACUCGAAGAUGGAUCGAUCUCGAAGUUAUUCUCCAAGUCAACGAUUACAUUGCAAUUCGACGAAGAAAAAAAAGGGAAAAAAAACGCGAAUUAUAUCUCGGAAGAAAGAGAAAAAGAAAAAAGAAAAGAAAAGAAAAGAAAAAAG
This is a long non-coding RNA of Vespa mandarinia (Asian giant hornet), 741 nucleotides long. The record is from RefSeq and is a predicted model, not a curated record. Lineage: Eukaryota; Metazoa; Arthropoda; Insecta; Hymenoptera; Vespidae.